AUACGUAGGGGGCGAGCGUUGUCCGGAAUGAUUGGGCGUAAAGGGCGCGUAGGCGGCCCGGUAAGUCUGGAGUGAAAGUCCUGUUUUUAAGAUGGGAAUUGCUUUGGAUACUGUCGGGCUUGAGUGCAGGAGAGGUAAGUGGAAUUCCCAGUGUAGCGGUGAAAUGCGUAGAGAUUGGGAGGAACACCAGUGGCGAAGGCGACUUACUGGACUGUAACUGACGCUGAGGCGCGAAAGUGUGGGGAGCAAACAGGAUUAGAUACCCUGGUAGUCCACGCCGUAAACGAUGAGUGCUAAGUGUUGGAGGGUUUCCGCCCUUCAGUGCUGCAGCUAACGCAUUAAGCACUCCGCCUGGGGAGUACGGCCGCAAGGCUGAAACUCAAAUGAAUUGACGGGG
This 397-nucleotide ribosomal RNA is filed under the name uncultured bacterium. RNAcentral's name for it is "partial 16S ribosomal RNA". It matches the Rfam family "Bacterial small subunit ribosomal RNA", at positions 523 to 918 of the family's 1533-position model. The record is from RNAcentral.